Molecule: ribosomal RNA, 250 nt
Filed under: uncultured bacterium
Lineage: Bacteria
Description: partial 16S ribosomal RNA
Rfam family: Bacterial small subunit ribosomal RNA
Source: RNAcentral
UACGUAGGGUGCAAGCGUUAAUCGGAAUUACUGGGCGUAAAGCGUGCGCAGGCGGUUUUGUAAGUCUGUCGUGAAAUCCCCGGGCUCAACCUGGGAAUUGCGAUGGAGACUGCAAGGCUAGAAUCUGGCAGAGGGGGGUAGAAUUCCACGUGUAGCAGUGAAAUGCGUAGAGAUGUGGAGGAACACCGAUGGCGAAGGCAGCCCCUGGGUCAAGAUUGACGCUCAUGCACGAAAGCGUGGGAGCAACAGG